Molecule: long non-coding RNA, 326 nt
Filed under: Gossypium raimondii (Peruvian cotton)
Lineage: Eukaryota; Viridiplantae; Streptophyta; Magnoliopsida; Malvales; Malvaceae
Description: long non-coding RNA (GRAI_LNC006294)
Source: RNAcentral
GAGCGGCGCGCGAGCUUGCUAAGUUAGGGUUUUCUGUUUCUGCAUAUUAGCUGGGCUAGGUUAAUUGGGUUUAGUGGGUAGUUGGGCUAAUGUAAUGGAUUUAUUUGUUUUAGGCUGAGUAAUGUAAUUGGACAUUUGGACUGAACUUUUAUUUUAUUUGUUGUUUUUUUAUUUAUUUGUUUUAGUUUGUGUAGGCCCGGGCAAAAUGGGCCAUUACAGGGUAUCGAUACUUAUUGAUAUCGUUUUAGCGUUUUGCCAAUUUGGAAUUUUGAAAACAAUACCUUUUUAUUGAUACCUUUAAAAAGUACUGUUCUUUGACAAAUAAG